Molecule: transfer RNA, 77 nt
Filed under: Shigella flexneri 2a str. 301
Lineage: Bacteria; Pseudomonadati; Pseudomonadota; Gammaproteobacteria; Enterobacterales; Enterobacteriaceae
Also listed under: 1 other name
Description: tRNA-Val
Source: RNAcentral
UGGUGCGUCCGAGUGGACUCGAACCACCGACCCCCACCAUGUCAAGGUGGUGCUCUAACCAACUGAGCUACGGACGC